Paramuricea clavata is the source of this 486-nucleotide non-coding RNA. The record is from the annotation of a GenBank genome assembly. NCBI's taxonomy places the organism in Eukaryota, Metazoa, Cnidaria, Anthozoa, Malacalcyonacea, Plexauridae.
UAUAAAAUAGUCACUUACUACAGUACUAAAACAAUUAUUUACGUUUUUGAGUGAAUAGGUAGGUUUAAUAAGCAGCAUGCCAUAUAAGAUAUUAAACAAUUUGUAAUUGACGUUUUAUGCUUCGGCUGAUAACUUUGUUCAGACCAACUGGCCAGGGUGCAUUGGGCUAUUCCAUUUAAUAUCCGUACCCAACUCCCUGUCGAGGAUCCCUGGAAUUCUUCAGGGGUAAAGUGUUUUGAGCUUGGAAUUCUUCAGGGGUAAAGUGUUUUGAGUUUGGAAUUCUUCAGGGGUGAAGGGUUUUGAGCUUGGAAUUCUUCAGGGUUAAAAGGUUUUGAGCUUGGAAUUCUUCAGGGGUAAGGAGUUUUGAACUUGGAAUUUUGGAAUUCUUCAGGGGUAAAAGGUUUUGAGCUUGGAAUUCUUCAGGGGUAUAACCAUGAAAAACAUGUAUCCUCGACAGGGGGUGUACGGAUAUUAAAUGGAAUAGCC